UAGGAAAUCUUCCACAAUGGACGCAAGUCUGAUGGAGCAACGCCGCGUGAGUGAAGAAGGUUUUCGGAUCGUAAAGCUCUGUUGUUGGUGAAGAAGGAUAGAGGCAGUAACUGGUCUUUAUUUGACGGUAAUCAACCAGAAAGUCACGGCUAACUACGUGCCAGCAGCCGCGGUAAUACGUAGGUGGCAAGCGUUGUCCGGAUUUAUUGGGCGUAAAGCGAGCGCAGGCGGAAUGAUAAGUCUGAUGUGAAAGCCCACGGCUCAACCGUGGAACUGCAUCGGAAACUGUCAUUCUUUAGUGCAGAAGAGGAGAGUGGAAUUCCAUGUGUAGCGGUGGAAUGCGUAGAUAUAUGGAAGAACACCAGUGGCGACGGCGGCUCUCUGGUCUGCAACUGACGCUGAGGCUCGAAAGCAUGGGUAGCGAACAGG
Molecule: ribosomal RNA, 429 nt
Filed under: bacterium
Lineage: Bacteria
Description: partial 16S ribosomal RNA
Rfam family: Bacterial small subunit ribosomal RNA
Source: RNAcentral